GAUGAACGCUGGCGGCGUGCUUAACACAUGCAAGUCGAACGGUGAAGGCGGAGCUUGCUCUGCUGGAUCAGUGGCGAACGGGUGAGUAACACGUGAGCAAUCUGCCCCUGACUCUGGGAUAAGCGCUGGAAACGGCGUCUAAUACUGGAUACGAGCUGCGAAGGCAUCUUCAGCAGCUGGAAAGAAUUUCGGUCAGGGAUGAGCUCGCGGCCUAUCAGCUUGUUGGUGAGGUAAUGGCUCACCAAGGCGUCGACGGGUAGCCGGCCUGAGAGGGUGACCGGCCACACUGGGACUGAGACACGGCCCAGACUCCUACGGGAGGCAGCAGUGGGGAAUAUUGCACAAUGGGCGACAGCCUGAUGCAGCAACGCCGCGUGAGGGACGACGGCCUUCGGGUUGUAAACCUCUUUUAGCAGGGAAGAAGCGAAAGUGACGUUACCUGCAGAAAAAGCGCCGGCUAACUACGUG
RNAcentral lists this ribosomal RNA (468 nucleotides) under uncultured bacterium. Its description in RNAcentral is "partial 16S ribosomal RNA". It matches the Rfam family "Bacterial small subunit ribosomal RNA", at positions 28 to 507 of the family's 1533-position model. The record is from RNAcentral.